GGGAUUCAAACUCAGACCUCUCUGUUUACUUCGAACAGAACAACCAACUCAGCUGUCUCACCUAAUAUGUUUAGCUUUUUCUUCCUAUUUCCCAUGCCUCCUGGAUUCUAUUCGUUUUUUUUUACUAGGACAGGCUUUUCAUCAGUUUUUACAUUUUCCUUUUUACCUCCAUCCUGGGCCUAGCCCAUUUUUUUUCUUUUCUUUUUUAACCUUCAACAAAUAUGUGUGUGAGGUAGGAUUGAACUAUAACCAACCGCGACGAUUCACUUCUUGUGCCCAGUUACUUCUUUUGUUCUUCUUCUUGUGCAUCUUCUCAGUCUAUUCUUUUUGUUUUGUUUGUCCUAUUUUUCUUCAAUUUUACUUGUUUUCAUUUUCCUUAUUUCUUCUUCUUUUCUCUUUUCUUUUUUGUACAGGUCACAUUUCAAGGUUUUUAUUCUGAAAUUUUACACACAUAGACAUAACAUACUUGUUUACCUGCACAAUUUUUUUCAGAUUUUUUGAAACCGGAAAGUUUGAAUUUUGAUUUGUUUCCAAAUAAAGGCCUCCAUGGCUCCCGGGAGCCAAACGUCCACAAUCUCAUUCUAGCAAACAAAUUUUCUUUCCAAAUACAUGUCUUUCUGAUAUGAUGAGACAACAGCAGUUGGAAGUCAUAGCACCACUUUGCCAUUAAGUUAAUUUGUGAAUAAAAAUUCAUAUAAGUUAAUUUGUGUAUAUAUCAUCUGAUUAGCUAUGUGUGGUAGAGCCUUAGAUCAGUACUGUGUUCCAAAUAUUGUCCUCCGCAUUUGAGUCAGUUAUAUACUUUCCCGGCCAGUCCUAGUUAUUUUGUGGUCAGAAAACUUGUCUCAUGUAAUUCCAUGAACGAUUCAGACAUUUUUGUCAAGAAUUUUUGAUGUCAUCCUCCAUGCCUUCGCUUCCUCCUCCGUUGCCUCAAAUUAAUGCAGCUUGCUGUUACCCACGGCACCACAGCAGGACAUGCUCUAGCCGUAUCUCCGCCUCCGGCAGAACUCAAACAAGAGGUAGCUUUCUUUUCUUUUCUUUUUAGCGGAGUAUAAUUGUCCAAUUAAGACCCAUUUAGAACAGAGGGAACAAAGAACUACAAACAUGUCAACGUGCAACUCACGUCUACAAUUACCUUGACUAGUUUCUUAACACGCCUUGAAAUUAUCUUGAAUAAUUUGACUAGUACAAUUAUGUUAUCAUCUAAUAAAUGUUCUCAGUUUCUCGACGAACGACCACUCAAAGUAUUCGUGUUGUAGUUCUCAUCGAUGAGCUAAAGAAUGCGUGGUUGUUCCCGGAUAUGAAGAAAAAAAACCACAAGUCAACUGUCAAUGCACCAAUUCAGACAGAUGAUUUGCCAGGUGAUGAAGCCUUAAACUAAUGAGCUCUUACGCUGUUGCGAGUUGUUGGACACUGCAGUUGAUUCCAUAAUAUACUUGGCCAACUGCUCCAUAGUAUCGUAUCAUUUUCCUAUAACUAAAUAGUUGAUCUCCACUACUCCCUUCAUUUCAGUUUACAAGUCAUACGGGUAUACCUAGGUUGCCAAUUUUAUCACCCUAAUAUAAACUAUAUAACACAAAAAUUAUACCGUUUGAAAAUAGAACAUCUGAAGUUUAUAUUGGUAUAUUUUUUGUAAUAUAUAACUUGUAUUAGGUUGGUCAAAUUGACGACCUAGAGGUACGCGCACGCCCUGUAAACUGAGAGAGGGAGUAACGUAUUUAUCUGAACAUGCAAUUAUACCACCUCAUUAAACAAUUAUGAAUGGAUAAAGCCCCGCCUCAACAUGCAAGAUGCAUGCAAAAAGACUCAAAUGCCUUAACUACUCCCUAUAUAUAAGUCUAUUUAAAGAUUCCAAUACGGAUUAGAGAUGUAGCAAAAUAAGUGAACCUACACUCUAAAACACGUCUAUAUACAUUCGUAUGUAGUCCGCAUUGAGAUAUCUAAAAAGACUUAUAUUAAGAAAUGGAGGGACUAUUAUGCUACUUAUAUUCAAUAAAUAUUUUAUAAUUACAUGUAUUUUCUAUUUUACUUCUUAUAUUAUUAAUUCAAAUAUUUAUGUACAUAUAAUGCAAUGUUUACUGAAUAUAAUCAAAUACAAAUUCGAGUUCCAAAUUGAUAUUUCCUCACGUAACCAAUAAAUUGAAUAUUCAUGUUCAUAUAAUCAAAUCUUACUAAAUAUAACCUCCAUCUCAAAUUACUUGUCUUAGAUUUGUCUAGAUAUUGAUGUAUCUAACCCUAAAACGUGUCUAAAUAUGUCUGUAUCUACACAAAUCUAAGUCCAGUAAAUUAAGACAGAGAGAGUAUAUAACAAUCAAUUGCUUUGUUAUACAAAAUUGUGGCAAGUAACCUAUCUCAUGUCAGUAUAUACUGUAUUAACACUAAAAGGUGUCUAAAUAUUUAUGUAUCUAGACAAAUCUAAGUCAUGUAAAUUGAGACGGAGAGAAUAUAUAAUAAGCAAUUGCUUUGUUAUACAAAAUUGUGGCAAAUAACCUGUCUCAUGUCAGUAUAUCAUUCCGUUACCCUAAUCCGAGCUGCUGGCUGUUCCACUACCCAAGACAGCUUGCUCUUCCUCCAUUCCGCCCUUGCCAGUCAUGUUUGCAAUAGCGAUUGGAUUUUGUCUAACCGUUGAAGUUACCAAAAAAAUAAAAAUAACAAGCUGCUCUCGCCAUCGGCAAAGUCAGGACAGCCCAAACUUGUUACUGUGAUACAGGCUCUGGUUGCUCUUCCCUCUCAGCCACGGUGGUCCGGUGGGGUGGUGAUGUGCCUCACGACAUGUCUUUUGUUCUUCUUCAGAAGCUUGUCGGGGUCUGCCUCUCUCCGCGUGUCAUAUCGGAUCUGAUUCACUCGGCCGAACCAGAUUAGGUUGUCAAAUUGGUGGUGUUAAAGGAUAAUGCACAUAAAACUCCCAAUAUGAUUUGUGGUUUGAUUGAUUUUCUACAUGAUACUUCAUUAUAUCAUAACAUAUCUAACUAGCUAUUUUAAGAAUUUAUCAUGAAUAUUUUAAUGUUAUAAUAUAUAAAAUGGUGGCAUCAGUAUGUAUGUUUCUCUACCGAACAGCCACUAGAAGUUGUUGUGAUGUAGUUCUCAUCAUCUAGCUAAAGAAUAAAAGGUUGUUCCUGGAUUUAAUAGACAAACACAGGUGCAGCGACUUUUGAACGAACAAUUCAGGUUCAAACAAAAUUUGGUUGUCUCGUACCUCUAGAUGCAAAAAGAUAUACCAUUGCGCUCCAAUACAUAAGACACGAAAUGUGAAGAAAAAAAUUAGAAAACGACAAAAUGUGAGCUCGUCUUAUGUUUUAUUGACCUGACUGACCUGGGCGAUGAUUAAUGUGAGCCACGAGAUAACGACACCACUGGGAAACAAUACAGCUUGCUAGAUGUAAGUUCUUCGCAAUGGUGACUUAAUCAAGUUUCUGCUCAAUCAUAAUUGUAGGGCCCGCCAUCGUCGACCCUUGUUCCAUGUGGCAGAGCUGCUUGUCGGGGGCGAUGAGGCUGUCCAGCGCAGCGAGCCUCGACAUGGCACUCAUCCACACCUCCUGCUGCCGGUCUUGGGCCAAAGCGUGGACCAGUUGUGGCCGGCAAACUCCAGGCAUCGUCAUAGUUGCGAAAUAGCUUGCCCUGGUAGUCCGUGCACUGAUCGCUGAAGUCAGCAACGGUGAUCAGCACGCGCUGGGAAGCGCCCCGGCUCCCCUGUCUGGAUGUACCACACCACCACGCAAUCUUCAGGGACCACCGACCACAGCUUCAUGCGCCACAGCUCCGCCUUCUCCGUCCUAUCGCCACCGGAGCAUGCGUGCUGGUGGCGAUGGCGCAUGUAAGACAGAGCCGAAGGUUCAUGCUGCACCUAUGAGUUGGAGUAGGAUGAGAUGAUGAGGUCGCAGCGGCACCAACAUUGUCACCAUCAUCGUCGUUCACCACAGAGACGAAUACCAAGUGUUUGGCAAAAUGCAUGAGCCAAUUGAAAGAUCCGCUAAAUUUUGGGGAUCGGCUAGAAAUGACCAAAAUUUAGAGAAGUAAACAUACUCCUGUAAAGAAUACUCGGCCAUUUACUAUUCUAAAUUUUAGGGGAUCGACUAGAGAUGGCCUUUAUAUGAUCUCAGUUUCUCAACGAAUGACCACUCAAAGUUGUUGUGCUGUAGUUCUCAUCGACGAGCUAAAGAAUGCGUGGUUGUUUCCGUACAAGAGAAAAAAGUCAACCUUUCGACACUCUAUGUCAGAUAUCACUUGAUUUGCUAUGUCAUGGAGACCUAAACUAAUUAUGCGUUAUGCUGUUGCCGGCUGUUGGCAUUCGCUGUUUAUUCCAUAAUAUAACUGGUCUACUAUCUCUUGAUUUGCCAUGUGAUGGUGACUUAAACUAAUGAGCUGUUACGCUAUUGCCAGCUGUUGGCAUCAGCAGUUUAUUCCAUAAUAUAAUUGGUCAAUUGCUCUAGAGUCCUGGUUCAAGCUUUUGUGUCAUAUUGUUAUACAAAAUUGUGGAGUAAACUGUUCCAUGUCAUUAAUAACUAUUGCGUUGAAAACCGGCUCAUCAGGGUUUAAGUCCUACACUAGGCACUAGUGCUCGCACUUUUCUAGAUUUAUUAUUUCAGACUUUUAGGCGAUAUUCAUUCACUGAAAAUCUAGAGAAGACGUUCCCGUCGACUACAAGGUGUCUAUGAUGACUGUCUAUUCUAAGAUGUUGUGUCAGUUCAGUAUCUUGUAGGUGCUCGUAGAGGUAACGUGUGCAUGCAUUCGUUCAUAAGAGUAAGUGUAUAUGCUUAUGUGAGGAUGUGCGAUUGUAUUAAAAGAAAACUAUUAUGUUAUUUUGGUCCAAGCUGUUGCUUGUUCCACUCCGCAUGACAACACUUCCUCCAUUCCGUCCUUGCCAGCCAUUUUGUCAAACCACAGAAGAUACAAAAAAAUGAUUAUGAUCUGCAAUGACAUCGGCCUAAUCAAGACAGCUCAAACUCGUUACUUCCAAGCCGGCUUUGGUUGCUCCUCCUUUUCUGCCAUGGCUGUGCGGUGUGGUGGUGCGGUGCCUCGUCACAUGUCUUUUGUGCUUCUUCGGAAGCCUGCCAGGGUCGACAUCUCUGGGAAAGUAAGGCUAGAUCUGACUCGCUCUGCGAACCAAAUUAGGUUUUUAAAAUGGUGGGUUAAAUGAAAAGUUGCAUGAAAACUCCCAAAAUGUUCUAUGCUUUGAUUGAUUUUCUCCACGAUACUUCAUCAUAUCAUAGCAUGUCCAAUUAGUUGUUUUCAAAAUUUAUUAUGAAUAUAUUGAUGUCAUAAUAUAUAAAAUGGUGCCAUCAGUAUGCAUGUUUCUCUACCUAAGAACCAGUCCAAGUUGUUGUGAUGUAGUAGUUCUUAUCGACUAGCUAAAUAAUGCAAGGAUGUUCCUGGAUUUAAUAGAAAAACAUAAGUACAAUGACUUUGGAACAUACUCUUCAGGUCCAAACAAAGCUUUGUUGACUUAUACCUCUAGAUGCGAAAAAAUCAACAUUGCAGUCCAAUACAUAAGACACAAAAUGUGAAGAAUUUUUUGUAGAAAUGACAAAACAUGAACUGAUCAUAUGUUUCAUUGCUGACUGACCGGAACGACGAUUUGUCACAGUCGCGACUUGAUGGAUAACGACACCAUUGGAAACAAUACAGAGCGUUGCUUCGGUACACCCCUCCUCACAAACCGUAUAAGGGCAGUAUGGUCAUUUGAUCAUAUGGUAUACCCACAUCCAUACGUGACACGUACAAGCCGUACAUAGACGUACAGAAACCAGUGCACACACCCCCGCAUCAUGGUCUCUGCCCAUUUUCAUUUUUUUUUCAAACUGGCGCACACACAUCCUCAUUAUUGGCUCAGCCCAGCUUCAUUUGCUUUUCAACCUUCAAAAAAUGUAGAGUGUGGUGGGAUUCAAACUCAGACCUCUCUGUUUACUUCGAACAGAACAACCAACUCAGCCGUCUCACCUAAUAUGUUUAGCUUUUUCUUCCUAUUUCCCAUGCCUCCUGGAUUCUAUUCGGUUUUUUUUUGCUAGGACAGGUUUUUCAUCAGUUUUUACAUUUUCCUUUUUACCUCCAUCCCGGGCCUAGCCCAUUUUUUUUCUUUUCUUUUUUAACCUUCAACAAAUAUGUGUGUGAGGUAGGAUUGAACUAUAACCAACCGCGACGAUCCACUUCUUGUGCCUAGUUACUUCUUUUGUUCUUCUUCUUGUGCAUCUUCUCAGUCUAUUCUUUUUGUUUUGUUUGUCCUAUUUUUCUUCAAUUUUACUUGUUUUCAUUUUCCUCAUUUAUUCUUCUUUUCUCUUUUCUUUUUUGUACAGGGCACAUUUCAACGUUUUUCAUUCUGAAAUUUUACACACAUAGACAUAACAUACUUGUUUACCUGCACAAUUUUUUUCAGAUUUUUUGAAACCGGAAAGUUUGAAUUUUGAUUUGUUUCCAAAUAAAGGCCUCCAUGGCUCCCGGGAGCCAAACGUCCACAAUCUCAUUCUAGCAAACAAAUUUUCUUUCCAAAUACAUGCCUUUCUGAUAUGAUGAGACAAAAGCAGUUGGAAGUCAUAGCACCACUUUGCCAGUAAGUUAAUUUGUGAAUAAAAAUUCAUAUAAGUUAAUUUGUGUAUAUAUCAUCUGUUUAGCUAUGUGUGGUAGAGCCUUAGAUCAGUACUGUGUUCCAACUAUUGUCCUCCGCAUUUGAGUCAGUUAUAUACUUUCCCGGCCAGUCCUAGUUAUUUUGUGGUCAGAAAACUUGUCUCAUGUAAUUCCAUGAACGAUUCAGACAUUUUUGUCAAGAAUUUUUGAUGUCAUCCUCCAUGCCUUCGCUUCCUCCUCCGUUGCCUCAAAUUAAUGCAGCUUGCUGUUAGCCACGGCACCACAGCAGGACAUGCUCUAGCCGUAUCUCCGCCUCCGGCAGAACUCAAACAAGAGGUAGCUUUCUUUUCUUUUCUUUUUAGCGGAGUAUAAUUGUCCAAUUAAGACCCAUUUAGAACAGAGGGAACAAAGAACUACAAACAUGUCAACGUGCAACUCACGUCUACAAUUACCUUGACUAGUUUCUUAACACGCCUUGAAAUUAUCUUGAAUAAUUUGACUAGUACAAUUAUGUUAUCAUCUAAUAAAUGUUCUCAGUUUCUCGACGAACGACCACUCAAAGUAUUCGUGUUGUAGUUCUCAUCGAUGAGCUAAAGAAUGCGUGGUUGUUCCCGGGUAUGAAGAAAAAAAAACCACAAGUCAACUGUCAAUGCACCAAUUCAGACAGAUGAUUUGCCAGGUGAUGAAGCCUUAAACUAAUGAGUUGUUACGCUGUUGCGAGUUGUUGGCAACUGCAGUUGAUUCCAUAAUAUACUUGGCCAACUGCUCCAUAGUAUCGUAUCAUUUUCCUAUAACUAAAUAGUUGAUCUCCACUACUCCCUUCAUUUCAGUUUACAAGUCAUACGCGUAUACCUAGGUUGCCAAUUUUAUCACCCUAAUAUAAACUAUAUAACACAAAAAUUAUACCGUUUGAAAAUAGAACAUCUGAAGUUUAUAUUGGUAUAUUUUUUGUAAUAUAUAACUUGUAUUAGGUUGGUCAAAUUGACGACCUAGGGGUACGCGCACGCCCUGUAAACUGAGAGAGGGAGUAACGUAUUUAUCUGAACAUGCAAUUAUACCACCUCAUUAAACAAUUAUGAAUGUAUAAAGCCCCGCCUCAACAUGCAAGAUGCAUGCAAAAAGACUCAAAUGCCUUAACUACUCCCUAUAUAUAAGUCUAUUUAAAGAUUCCAAUACGGAUUACAGACGUAGCAAAAUAAGUGAACCUACACUCUAAAACACGUCUAUAUACAUUCGUAUGUAGUCCGCAUUGAGAUAUCUAAAAAGACUUAUAUUAAGAAAUGGAGGGACUAUUAUGCUACUUAUAUUCAAUAAAUAUUUUAUAAUUACAUGUAUUUUCUGUUUUACUUCUUAUAUUAUUAAUUCAAAUAUUUAUGUACAUAUAAUGCAAUGUUUAACUGAAUAUAAUCAAAUACAAAUUCGAGUUCCAAAUUGAUAUUUCCUCACGUAACCAAUAAAUUGAAUAUUCAUGUUCAUAUAAUCAAAUCUUACUAAAUAUAACCUCCAUCUCAAAUUACUUGUCUUAGAUUUGUCUAGAUAUUGAUGUAUCUAACCCUAAAACAUGUCUAAAUAUGUCUGUAUCUACACAAAUCUAAGUCCAGUAAAUUAAGACAGAGAGAGUAUAUAACAAUCAAUUGCUUUGUUAUACAAAAUUGUGGCAAGUAACCUAUCUCAUGUCAGUAUAUACUGUAUUAACACUAAAAUGUGUCUAAAUAUUUAUGUAUCUAGACAAAUCUAAGUCAAGUAAAUUGAGAUGGAGAGAGUAUAUAAUAAGCAAUUGCUUUGUUAUACAAAAUUGUGGCAAGUAACCUGUCUCAUGUCAGUAUAUCAUUCCGUUACCCUAAUCCGAGCUACUGGCUGUUCCACUACUCAAGACAGCUUGCUCUUCCUCCAUUCCGCCCUUGCCAGCCAUGUUUGCAAUAACGAUUGGAUUUUGUCUAACUGCCGAAGUUACCAAAAAAAUAAAAAUAACAAGCUGCUCUUGCCAUCGGCAAAGUCAGGACAGCCCAAACUUGUUACUGUGAUACAGGCUCUGGUUGCUCUUCCCUCUCAGCCACGGUGGUCCGGUGGGGUGGUGCUAUGUCUCACGACAUGUCUUUUAUUCUUCUUCAGAAGCUUGUCGGGGUCUGCCUCUCUCCGCGUGUCAUAUCGGAUCUGAUUCACUCGGCCGAACCAGAUUAGGUCGUCAAAUGGUGGUGUUAAAGGAUAAUGCACAUGAAAACUCCCAAUAUGAUUUGUGGUUUGAUUGAUUUUCUACAUGAUACUUCAUUAUAUCAUAACAUAUCUAACUAGCUAUUUUAAGAAUUUAUCAUGAAUAUUUUGAUGUUAUAAUAUAUAAAAUGGUGGCAUCAGUAUGUAUGUUUCUCUACCGAACAGCCACUAGAAGUUGUUGUGAUGUAGUUCUCAUCAUCUAGCUAAAGAAUAAAAGGUUGUUCCAGGAUUUAAUAGACAAACAUAGGUGCAGCGACUUUUGAACGAACAAUUCAGGUUCAAACAAAAUUUGGUUGUCUCGUACCUCUAGAUGCAAAAAGAUAUACCAUUGCGCUCCAAUACAUAAGACACGAAAUGUGAAGAAAAAAAAUUAGAAAACGACAAAAUGUGAGCUCGUCUUAUGUUUUAUUGAGCUGACUGACCUGGGCGAUGAUUAAUGUGAGCCACGAGAUAACGACACCACUGGGAAACAAUACAGCUUGCUAGAUGUAGGUUCUUCGCAGUGGUGACUUAAUCAAGUUUCUGCUCAAUCAUAAUUGUAGGGCCCGCCAUCGUCGACCCUUGUUCCAUGUGGCAGAGCUGCUUGUCGGGGGCGAUGAGUCUGUACAGCGCAGCGAGCCUCGACAUGGCACUCAUCCACACCUCCUGCUGCCGGUCUUGGGCCAAAGCGGGGACCAGUUGUGGCCGGCAAACUCCAGGCACCUGUCAUAGUUGCGAAAUAGCUUGCCCUGGUAGUCCGUGCACUGAUCGCUGAAGUCAGAACGGUGAUCAGCACGCGCUGUGAAGCGCCCCGGCUCCCCUGUCUGGAUGUACCACACCACCACGCACUCUUCAGGGACCACCGACCACAGCUUCAUGCGCCACAGCUCCGCCUUCUCCGUCCUAUCGCCACCGGAGCAUGCGUGCUGGUGGCGAUGGCGCAUGUAAGACAGAGCCGAAGGUUCAUGCUGCACCUAUGAGUUGGAGUAGGAUGAGAUGAUGAGGUCGUAGCGGCACCAGCAUUGUCACCAUCGUCGUCGUUCACCACAGAGACGAAUACCAAGUGUUCGGCAAAAUGCAUGAGCCAAUUGAAAGAUCCGCUAAAUUUUGGGGAUCGGCUAGAAAUGAUCAAAAUUUAGAGAAGUAAAAAUACUCCUGUAAAGAAUACUCGGCCAUUUACUAUUCUAAAUUUUAGGGGAUCGACUAGAGAUGGCCUAAUAUAUGAUCUCAGUUUCUCAACGAAUGACCACUCAAAGUUGUUGUGCUGUAGUUCUCAUUGACGAGCUAAAGAAUGCGUGGUUGUUUCCGUACAUGAUAAAAAAGUCAACCUUUCGACGCACUAUGUCAGAUAUCACUUGAUUUGCUAUGUCAUGGAGACUUAAACUAAUUAUGCGUUAUGCUGUUGCCGGCUGUUGGCAUUCGUUGUUUAUUCCAUAAUAUAACUGGUCAACUAUCUCUUGAUUUGCCAUGUGAUGGUGACUUAAACUAAUGAGCUGUUAUGCUAUUGCCAGUUGUUGGCAUCAGCAGUUUAUUCCAUAAUAUAAUUGGUCAAUUGCUCUAGAGUCCCGGUUCAAGCUUUUGUGUCAUAUUGUUAUACAAGAUUGUGGAGUAAACUGUUCCAUGUCAUUAAUAACUAUUGCGUUGAAAACCGGCUCAUCAGGGUUUAAGUCCUACACUAGGCACUAGUGCUCGCACUUUUCUAGAUUUAUUAUUUCAGACUUUUAGGCGAUAUUCAUUCACUGAAAAUCUAGAGAAGAUGUUCCCGUCGACUACAAGGUGUCUAUGAUGACUGUCUAUUCUAAGAUGUUGUGUCAGUUCAGUAUCUUGUAGGUGCUCGUAGAGGUAACGUGUGCAUGCAUUCGUUCAUAAGAGUAAGUGUAUAUGCUUAUGUGAGGAUGUGCGAUUGUAUUAAAAGAAAACUAUUAUGUUAUUUUGGUCCAAGCUGUUGCUUGUUCCACUCCGCAUGACAACACUUCCUCCAUUCCGUCCUUGCCAGCCAUUUUGUCAAACCACAGAAGAUACAAAAAAUGAUUACGAUCUGCAAUGACAUCGGCCUAAUCAAGACAGCCCAAACUCGUUACUUCCAAGCCGGCUUUGGUUGCUCCUCCUUUUCUGCCAUGGCUGUGCGGUGUGGUGGUGUGGUGCCUCGUGACAUGUCUUUUGUGCUUCUUCGGAAGCCUGCCAGGGUCGACAUCUCUGGGAAAGUUAGGCUAGAUCUGACUCGCUCGGCGAACCAGAUUAGGUUUUUAAAAUGGUGGGUUAAAUGAAAAGUCGCAUGAAAACUCCCAAAAUGUUAUAUGCUUUGAUUGAUUUUCUCCACGAUACUUCAUCAUAUCAUAGCAUGUCCAAUUAGUUGUUUUCAAAAUUUAUUAUGAAUAUAUUGAUGUCAUAAUAUAUAAAAUGGUGCCAUCAGUAUGCAUGUUUCUCUACCUAAGAACCAGUCCAAGUUGUUGUGAUGUAGUAGUUCUUAUCGACUAGCUAAAUAAUGCAAGGAUGUUCCUGGAUUUAAUAGAAAAACAUAAGUACAAUGACUUUGGAACAUACUCUUCAGGUCCAAACAAAGCUUUGUUGACUUAUACCUCUAGAUGCGAAAAAAUCAACAUUGCAGUCCAAUACCUAAGACACAAAAUGUGAAGAAUUUUUUGUAGAAAUGACAAAACAUGAACUGAUCAUAUGUUUCAUUGCUGACUGACCGGAACGACGAUUUGUCUCAGUCGCGAAUUGAUGGAUAACGACACCAUUGGAAACAAUACAGAGCGUUGCUUCGGUACACCCCUCCUCACAAACCGUAUAAGGGCAGUAUGGUCAUUUGAUCAUAUGGUAUACCCACAUCCAUACGUGACACGUACAAGCCAUACAUAGACGUACAGAAACCAGUGCACACACCCCCGCAUCAUGGUCACAGCCCAUUUUCAUUUUUUUUUCAAACUGGCGCACACACAUCCUCAUUAUUGGCUCAGCCCACCUUCAUUUGCUUUUCAACCUUCAAAAAAUGUAGAGUGUGGUGGGAUUCAAACUCAGACCUCUCUGUUUACUUCGAACAGAACAACCAACUCAGCUGUCUCACCUAAUAUGUUUAGCUUUUUCUUCCUAUUUCCCAUGCCUCCUGGAUUGUAUUCGGUUUUUUUUUUUGCUAGGACAGGAUUUUCAUCAGUUUUUCCAUUUUCCUUUUUACCUCCAUCCCGGGCCUAGCCCAUUUUUUUUCUUUUCUUUUUUAACCUUCAACAAAUAUGUGUGUGAGGUAGGAUUGAACUAUAACCAACCGCGACGAUUCACUUCUUGUGCCCAUUUACUUCUUUUGUUCUUCUUCUUGUGCAUCUUCUCAGCCUAUUCUUUUUGUUUUGUUUGUCCUAUUUUUCUUCAAUUUUACUUGUUUUCAUUUUCCUCAUUUAUUCUUCUUUUCUCUGUUCUUUUUUGUACAGGUCACAUUUCAACGUUUUUCAUUCUGAAAUUUUACACACAUAGACAUAACAUACUUGUUUACCUGCACAAUUUUUUUCAGAUUUUUUUGAAACCGGAAAGUUUGAAUUUUGAUUUGUUUCCAAAUAAAGGCCUCCAUGGCUCCCGGGAGCCAAACGUCCACAAUCUCAUUCUAGCAAACAAAUUUUCUUUCCAAAUACAUGUCUUUCUGAUAUGGUGAGACAAAAGCAGUUGGAAGUCAUAACACCACUUUGCCAUUAAGUUAAUUUGUGAAUAAAAAUUCAUAUAAGUUAAUUUGUGUAUAUAUCAUCUGAUUAGCUAUGUGUGGUAGAGCCUUAGAUCAGUACUAUGUUCCAAAUAUUCUCCUCCGCAUUUGUGUCAGUUAUAUACUUUCCCGGCCAGUCCUAGUUAUUUUGUGGUCAGAAAACUUGUCUCAUGUAACUCCAUGAACGAUUCAGACAUUUUUGUCAAGAAUUUUUGAUGUCAUCCUCCAUGCCUUCGCUUCCUCCUCCGUUGC
This 12682-nucleotide long non-coding RNA is filed under the name Triticum aestivum (bread wheat). RNAcentral describes it as "long non-coding RNA (TAES_LNC012797)". The record is from RNAcentral. Lineage: Eukaryota; Viridiplantae; Streptophyta; Magnoliopsida; Poales; Poaceae.